AACGAACGCUGGCGGCAGGCUUAACACAUGCAAGUCGAACGCCCCGCAAGGGGAGUGGCAGACGGGUGAGUAACGCGUGAGCAUCUACCCAUCUAUGCGGAAUAGCUCCGGGAAACUGGAAUUAAUACCGCAUACGCCCUACGGGGGAAAGAUUUAUCGGGGAUGGAUGAGCCCGCGUGGGAUUAGCUAGUUGGUGGGUUAAAGGCCUACCAAGGCGACGAUCCAUAGCUGGUCUGAGAGGAUGAUCAGCCACAUUGGGACUGAGACUCGGCCCAAACUCCUACGGGAGGCAGCAGUGGGGAAUAUUGGACAAUGGGCGCAAGCCUGAUCCAGCCAUGCCGCGUGAGUGAUGAAGGCCUUAGGGUUGUAAAGCUCUUUCACCGGUGAAGAUAAUGACGGUAACCGGAGAAGAAGCCCCGGCUAACUUCGUGCCAGCAGCCGCGGUAA
Molecule: ribosomal RNA, 447 nt
Filed under: uncultured bacterium
Lineage: Bacteria
Description: partial 16S ribosomal RNA
Rfam family: Bacterial small subunit ribosomal RNA
Source: RNAcentral